Molecule: long non-coding RNA, 1024 nt
Filed under: Prunus persica (peach)
Lineage: Eukaryota; Viridiplantae; Streptophyta; Magnoliopsida; Rosales; Rosaceae
Description: long non-coding RNA (PPER_LNC005040)
Source: RNAcentral
AGAAUAUGAGUUCCACAUCGGAAACUUGACUAAAUAAAAUACAAAAUAUAAUGAAUGAUUCUACUACUAAUAAUACCGAGGCCUUUUGUGAUAAAACCCCACACUUAUUGGGCUUUGUAGGUGGUUAAGUUGGAGACAAUAUCGAUGUUGUUAAUAGUGGGCCGCUGGCCCGUCUUUCUGAAUUUAACAUGGUAUUAGAGUAGGUUGAUUGACUAGGCUUGAAUUAGGCCUCUACCCUUACCCAAUAUGUGGUGUUCACAUGUUGGGCUUGAAUGUUUACCCCUACUCUUUACCCAAUACGUGGUGCUCACGUGUUGGGCAUGAAUGAUUGACUCCGUUGUGAACUUGGCUCCACGUAUGGCCCACUAUAUGGUGGUCCCACGUGAGAGGACAUGUUGAAGGAUAUGAGUCUCACAUUCGAAACUUAACUAAAUAAAAUACAAAAUAUAAUAAAUGGUUCUACUACUAAUAAUACCGAGGCCUUUUGUGAUAAAACCUCACCUGCUGGGCUUUAUAGGUGGUUAAGUUGGGGACAAUAUUGGUGUUGUUAGUAGUGGGCCGCUGACCAGUCUUUCUGAGUUUAACAUAUGUUGUUUAUUUUAAGAGCUACUAGGGUAAAAUAGACUUUCUUUUUUUCUUUUUUUUUUUGGAAUGGGAAUAAGAUGAACUUUUUAAAAUUUAGAACUAAAUUUAUGCUCUUAAAAACAUUGCACUGGGCUGGAGCCCACUCAAGCUUGGCUUCGCCCUUAGGUACAUGCCCAUGAACAUGUGGGUCCAAAGUUGGGAUGGAGGAGGUCCACUUUGAUGAAGGGUAGAACCUUUGGUUGCUUGCCAUACAAGCAUGCUUGUACAGGCUGUGUUUGGGUAUCCUUAGAUCAUGUUAUGCAUCGCAAUCACAAAACAGACUUCUUCAACUACGCAAUAAGCUCUUUUGCAAUGUGGAAGGGGCUGACUGCUUCUUCAGGUCUUGUUGAAAGCAAAAAAACUUACUUGUAACAGGGAUAUCACUAUUUUACUAUUCCCA